This 322-nucleotide ribosomal RNA is filed under the name uncultured bacterium. RNAcentral describes it as "bacterial SSU rRNA". It matches the Rfam family "Bacterial small subunit ribosomal RNA", at positions 29 to 329 of the family's 1533-position model. The record is from RNAcentral.
AGCGAACGUUGGCGGCGUGCUUAACACAUGCAAGUCGAGCGAAGGUGUUUCAAGGGUAACCUUGAGAUACACUUAGCGGCGGACGGGUGAGUAAUACGUGGAUAACUUACCUCUAGGCCUGGGAUAACCCCGGGAAACUGGGGCUAAUACCUGAUAAGACCACAUUGUCUACGGACAAAGGGGUAAAAGGUGGCUGUGCAAACAGCUAUCGCCAAAAGAUAGGUUCACGUCCCAUCAGGCAGUUGGGAGGUAAUGGCUCACCAAACCAAAGACGGGUAGCCGGCCUUGGCGGGUGAACGGCCACACGGGGACUGAGACACGG